GAAAUGCGAUAAGUAGUGUGAAUUGCAGAAAUCAGUGAAUCAUCGAAUCUUUGAACGCACAUUGCGCCCCUUGGUAUUCCAUGGGGCAUGCCUGUUCGAGCGUCAUUUGUACCCUCAAGCUCUGCUUGGUGUUGGGUGUUUGUCCCCGUCUCCGCGCGUGGACUCGCCCCAAAGUGAUUGGCAGCCGGCGUACUGGUCCCGGAGCGCAGCACAUGUCGCGCAAACGAGUGCCUUGGUACGGCGGCGUCCAUAAGCCCCUCUCUCACGCUCUUGACCUCGGAUCAGGUAGGGAUACCCGCUGAACUUAAGC
Molecule: unclassified non-coding RNA, 310 nt
Filed under: plant metagenome
Description: partial contains 5.8S ribosomal RNA, internal transcribed spacer 2, and large subunit ribosomal RNA
Rfam family: 5.8S ribosomal RNA (bases 1-105)
Source: RNAcentral